Long non-coding RNA from Salvelinus sp. IW2-2015, 1231 nucleotides. RefSeq lists it as uncharacterized. NCBI's taxonomy places the organism in Eukaryota, Metazoa, Chordata, Actinopteri, Salmoniformes, Salmonidae. The record is from RefSeq and is a predicted model, not a curated record.
AUCGCUUCACGCUGUUGGAGCGGUAGGUACGGAUCGCUUCACGCUGUUGGAGCGGUAGGUACGGUUCGCUUCACGCUGUUGGAGCGGUAGGUACGGAUCGCUUCACGCUGUUGGAGCGGUAGGUACGGAUCGCUUCACUAUGUUGGAGCGGUAGGUACGGAUCGCUUCACGCUGUUGGAGCGGUAGGUACGGAUCGCUUCACGCUGUUGGAGCGGUAGGUACGGAUCGCUUCACGCUGUUGGAGGCGGUAGGUACGGAUCGCUUCACGCUGUUGGAGCGGUAGGUACGGAUCGCUUCACGCUGUUGGAGCGGUAGGUACGGAUCGCUUCACGCUGUUGGAGCGGUAGGUACGGAUCGCUUCACGCUGUUGGACCGGUAGGUACGGUUCGCUUCACGCUGGUAGAGAGUGGUAGGUACGGGACCAAAACAAAGGAAAUUGACCCACUAUGCUGUUUACUUUCUGCAUCUACUUCAUAUAUGAGUCUACGUUUAAAUCUGUGCUCUUAAGAUAACUUUUUGUUUUAUUUAUGGUUUUUGUUUGGUUGAAUGUUUUUUAUGUGUGUGUUUGGUGUGUACGGUAUUAUGUGAGUAGAUUUUUGUUGUUUAUGUUAUGGUGGUAAUUGAUUUAUCUUUUUAAAAUAAUAUGUGUUUUGGGGGGUAUUCAAUGUGAUUGGGGCGACGUUAAGAUGGGUAAGAAAGCGUCACUGUCGGCCCAUUUAUUUGUGACUUAUUAUAAAAAGUCUGUAUCAGGAAGUUACAGUACUUACUACUUUGUACCUGCUGGCAACAGGUCGAGAUUCUACUGGAGUCACACCAAAAACAAUAAGGAUUUAUUUAACGAGAAUAAUUUGUUAUUAACGUUUGAUAACACAUGAUGCUUUUACAGUUCUAGGCCUUCCCCCUGAAUGGUUUGUAUCUGUGAUGGCCACAGUGAAGAGUUUGUAUGCCCAUGUAUUUUUGACAGCACUCGAAAAGAAAGUAUAUAUUCUUCUUUUCAUGAAAAAUGUGCAAUGUGUAGUUCACACUGGACCGAGGUGUGAAUUGCUUGGAAAGUGAUGGCUUUGCGGGGCUUUAAAGUUGAACUGUUUAUUUCUCAGGUAAAUAAGAGUUCUCCUAAACGCUAUUAUUGGCAUGUUUUUGACCUUCUACGAUUGUAGCAGUAAUGACUGACAGGCAACACACGUGAAAGGUUUGGUGGAAAGAACAAAUAAAUAUUUUUGUUAUAAAUCUG